AGGGCACCACCAGGAGUGGAGCCUGCGGCUUAAUUUGACUCAACACGGGAAAACUCACCCGGCCCGGACACUGGAAGGAUUGACAGAUUGAGAGCUCUUUCUUGAUUCAGUGGGUGGUGGUGCAUGGCCGUUCUUAGUUGGUGGAGUGAUUUGUCUGGUUAAUUCCGAUAACGAACGAGACUCUAGCCUACUAAAUAGAUCGUCGGCUUACAAACGCCGGCGAGACUUCUUAGAGGGACAGGCGGUGAUUCAACCGCACGAAACAGAGCAAUAACAGGUCUGUGAUGCCCUUAGAUGUCCGGGGCCGCACGCGCGCUACACUGAAGUGAUCAGCGUGCUUUUUCAACCUACUCUGUCAAGAGUGGGGAACCCAAUGAACCUUCUUCGUGAUAGGGAUAGGGGAUUGUAAUUAUUCCCCUUGAACGAGGAAUUCCCAGUAAGCGCGAGUCAUAAGCUCGCGUUGAUUACGUCCCUGCCCUUUGUACACACCGCCCGUCGCUACUACCGAUUGAAUGUUUU
RNAcentral lists this ribosomal RNA (519 nucleotides) under uncultured eukaryote. RNAcentral describes it as "SSU rRNA". It matches the Rfam family "Eukaryotic small subunit ribosomal RNA", at positions 1161 to 1699 of the family's 1831-position model. The record is from RNAcentral.